ACGCUGGCGGCAGGCCUAACACAUGCAAGUCGAGCGGUAGAGAGAAGCUUGCUUCUCUUGAGAGCGGCGGACGGGUGAGUAAUGCCUAGGAAUCUGCCUGGUAGUGGGGGAUAACGUUCGGAAACGGACGCUAAUACCGCAUACGUCCUACGGGAGGAAGCAGGGGACCUUCGGGCCUUGCGCUAUCAGAUGAGCCUAGGUCGGAUUAGCUAGUUGGUGGGGUAAUGGCUCACCAAGGCGACGAUCCGUAACUGGUCUGAGAGGAUGAUCAGUCACACUGGAACUGAGACACGGUCCAGACUCCUACGGGAGGCAGCAGUGGGGAAUAUUGGACAAUGGGCGAAAGCCUGAUCCAGCCAUGCCGCGUGUGUGAAGAAGGUCUUCGGAUUGUAAAGCACUUUAAGUUGGGAGGAAGGGCAGUAAAUUAAUACUUUGCUGUUUUGACGUUACCGACAGAAUAAGCACCGGCUAACUCUGUGCCAGCAGCCGCGGUAAUACAGAGGGUGCAAGCGUUAAUCGGAAUUACUGGGCGUAAAGCGCGCGUAGGUGGUUCGUUAAGUUGGAUGUGAAAUCCCCGGGCUCAACCUGGGAACUGCAUUCAAAACUGACGAGCUAGAGUAUGGUAGAGGGUGGUGGAAUUUCCUGUGUAGCGGUGAAAUGCGUAGAUAUAGGAAGGAACACCAGUGGCGAAGGCGACCACCUGGACUGAUACUGACACUGAGGUGCGAAAGCGUGGGGAGCAAAC
This 745-nucleotide ribosomal RNA is filed under the name uncultured bacterium. RNAcentral's name for it is "bacterial SSU rRNA". It matches the Rfam family "Bacterial small subunit ribosomal RNA", at positions 33 to 773 of the family's 1533-position model. The record is from RNAcentral.